RNAcentral lists this ribosomal RNA (401 nucleotides) under uncultured prokaryote. RNAcentral's name for it is "bacterial SSU rRNA". It matches the Rfam family "Bacterial small subunit ribosomal RNA", at positions 355 to 774 of the family's 1533-position model. The record is from RNAcentral.
UGGGGAAUAUUGCACAAUGGAGGAAACUCUGAUGCAGCGACGCCGCGUGAACGAUGAAGGCUUUCGGGUCGUAAAGUUCUGUCCUUGGGGACGAUAAUGACGGUACCCAAGGAGGAAGCCCCGGCUAACUACGUGCCAGCAGCCGCGGUAAUACGUAGGGGGCAAGCGUUGUCCGGAUUUAUUGGGCGUAAAGGGUUCGCAGGUGGCCUUUUAAGUCAGAUGUGAAAGAUCAAGGCUUAACCUUGGUAAGCAUUUGAAACUGAAAGGCUUGAGUUAAGGAGAGGAAAGUGGAAUUCCUAGUGUAGCGGUGAAAUGCGUAGAUAUUAGGAGGAAUACCAGUGGCGAAGGCGACUUUCUGGACUUAUACUGACACUGAGGAACGAAAGCAUGGGGAGCAAACA